CCUACGGGAGGCUGCAGUGGGGAAUCUUGGACAAUGGGCGAAAGCCUGAUCCAGCCAUGCCGCGUGAGUGAUGAAGGCCCUAGGGUUGUAAAACUCUUUCGCCAGGGAAGAUAAUGACGGUACCUGGUAAAGAAACCCCGGCUAACUCCGUGCCAGCAGCCGCGGUAAUACGGAGGGGGUUAGCGUUGUUCGGAAUUACUGGGCGUAAAGCGUACGUAGGCGGAUCAGAAAGUAGGGGGUGAAAUCCCGAGGCUCAACCUCGGAACUGCCUCCUAAACUCCUGGUCUUGAGUUCGAGAGAGGUGAGUGGAAUUCCAAGUGUAGAGGUGAAAUUCGUAGAUAUUUGGAGGAACACCAGUGGCGAAGGCGGCUCACUGGCUCGAUACUGACGCUGAGGUACGAAAGUGUGGGGAGCAAACAGGAUUAGAUACCCUUGUAGUC
RNAcentral lists this ribosomal RNA (440 nucleotides) under Pectobacterium carotovorum. Its description in RNAcentral is "bacterial SSU rRNA". It matches the Rfam family "Bacterial small subunit ribosomal RNA", at positions 338 to 795 of the family's 1533-position model. RNAcentral also lists the same sequence under 1 other name. The record is from RNAcentral. Lineage: Bacteria; Pseudomonadati; Pseudomonadota; Gammaproteobacteria; Enterobacterales; Pectobacteriaceae.